Long non-coding RNA from Mus pahari (shrew mouse), 930 nucleotides. RefSeq lists it as uncharacterized. The transcript has 3 exons. The record is from RefSeq and is a predicted model, not a curated record. Lineage: Eukaryota; Metazoa; Chordata; Mammalia; Rodentia; Muridae.
GAGGACUGUGAAAGGACAGGAUGUAGCUACUAGUGUCUCCCUAUUUCAAUGGCGGAUCUGCCAGGAUUGGCCACCGGAGGAUUUAGGUUUGAUAUGGCUUACAAGAUUAAGUUUCUAGUUGUUGUGCCCAGUGAUUGAGUUACCAUUGUUUCUGACCCAAGUUUGUGUGGUGUUGUCCUUCACGCAACUGCAACUGCAACUGCUUGACUGGGUUUCAGAGAGAAAAAAUAAGGUGGCAAAGCGUGGGUUUGCCUGAUGUGCACCACAGAAGGCCAUUGGAGUUUUGAAGUAUGGCAGUGGCCUGGUAGCUAUCCUCCAGUGGGAACUUACCGAGCUGGGUAGAGAGAUUUUGGAGCUCUGAGUCAGAGACUCUCCAGGAGAUAAGAACAGCCUGCCAGUGCAUGGUCCACCAGCCGGCUGGGGCAGAGAGUAGCUGGGUUUAGCUCCGGAACCUGGUGCCACUUUUUAAAUAUUUCCCGCAGCAUUAUCUCCAGGGAGGAGACUCCUGAUCUUUCAGAGACUGGAUCAGAAUGCUAACCUCAACUUAUCUCAGAUUGUUUUUUGAAGGACUUGAGGGAAAGGAGGAUGACUCAGCAUAGAAAGGAGCUUGCCACUAAACCUGACAACUUGAUUUUGACCCCUCAAACCCACAUGACAGAAGGAGAGACUCAAUUCCCUCAUGGUGCUCUCCAAUCUCCACUUACACACAGUGACAUAUGUGCACAUUGCCUGCACUCAGAAGAAAUCCUGUCUCCAUCUUGUCCUUCAGUGAACACAGCUGAGAUGAGUGUAGGAAGCUGUGUUUUCCCUGGGCGCAUCAUGAUGUGUAAAGCAAGGGGCACACAUUAUUCUCCUCCAGCAAGGUAUCUUCCUGAGGUAUGGAGAAGCCUAUUGUAUCCCAUGUCUACUGGAAUAAACCCUGAAAUAGGC